This is a long non-coding RNA of Marmota monax (woodchuck), 779 nucleotides long. RefSeq lists it as uncharacterized. The record is from RefSeq and is a predicted model, not a curated record. Lineage: Eukaryota; Metazoa; Chordata; Mammalia; Rodentia; Sciuridae. The transcript is spliced from 3 exons.
GCUACAGAGACAGUAAAACUAUCUCCUGAGCCCUCAUCAGGGGCCAGGCACCAGGAGAAGCAGAACAUGUGGGUUGGAAGCUCUGGCGUCAGUGUUCUCCCCAGACCCACCCACACCCCCAAACCCCAGCUCUGUCCCUCCUAAAGCAAGACUCAGGCUGGGCACAGCAGCACACACCUGUAAACCCAGAGGCUUGGGCGGCUGUGGCAGCAGGAGGAUGGCGAGUUCAAAACCAGCCCCAGCAAUUAGCGAGAAGGCAGCUGCCAGGACAAGGUUCAGAGUGCCAGCCGAGUGCUUAGCCAAGGAGAAGCCUUCAUUGGGUCUGAGUUCACCAAAUGCUCACAGACCCAGGGAGACUGGGAGAGCUUUACCUUGACCUGAGGCCAACAGAGACUCACAUGGACUACUGAGACAUUGCGAAGCAUUUUGUCAUUUAAUCAAAUAAUAAAUAUUUAUUCUGUACUAGCAAUCUGAAAUCUGAACCAUGGAGCUGGAAAGUUGACCCUAGUGACAGAAGCCCUCUCUCUUUCCCUGGAAAGAUAGAAAGUGUGAGGUGGAAGCGAUGGAACUUUGCAUCUGUGUAUGUGUUUCUCUUUUCUUCUCUGAUCUGCAAUGCCUGUUCCUAUAAAGAUAAGGACUAUCAAACCCAUAAUCUCCUAGCUGCCUUUGCUCAGAAAGAGGGUGGUUGCACCUCUCUGUACUUUUUCCUUCCAUUGCCUCAUACGAUGCAUCUCUUGCCAGUGAUCAAUAAACUCUUGAUUUCUUUUUUCAAAAAGGAA